Long non-coding RNA from Balaenoptera ricei (Rice's whale), 1041 nucleotides. RefSeq lists it as uncharacterized. The record is from RefSeq and is a predicted model, not a curated record. Lineage: Eukaryota; Metazoa; Chordata; Mammalia; Artiodactyla; Balaenopteridae. The transcript is spliced from 5 exons.
GGAAGCGGAUUUCGGGAGCGAAAGUCCCCUCGGGGUGAGUUCUCUCACGUCAUCCAAGGACAGAAAGUUGGAGACAGUGACCUUCAUAGACCUCCCAGGAGAAAUCCCUUCCCACUGACUUCAUACGAGGAAGAGCAACAAAUUCCCUGGAUAAUGCUACCAGCACACUUAACAUUGCACGUGAUGCUGUUGGACAGCGUGGGUCCAGAGCCGAGUCAGUUCCUGCUUUGGGAGCAGAGAGUCCUCCGUGUGGGGUGUCCUGCCCGCAGGACCUUGGGCAGCAUCUCCAGCAUCAUCCACCAGAUGGCAGUAGCUCCUCUCCAACACGACUUUGCCAAAGUCCCCAAGGGCUUGGAGUAACCCCAUCUGUCCAUGCUGCAGAUGAUCGUCCAGUUGGAAGUUUCAGCCGCAGCUGCUUCCUGCUUUGAAUCCCAGCCUCAUAGAGUUUAUUUAAGUAAGAUUUUUCUCAACCUGUGAAGCACAAUUCCGAAGGUACAGAAAAGAAGCAAUGUCUGCACCUCAUCCGCACAAUGUGGUCGAGUGCCAAGUGCCACAGAAUGUCCCGCAGAGGCCACGGGGGAGUGACCCCUGGGGAAACGGUGCUCCAAGCUUGAUGGACUGUAACGUCGUAGGAAAGAGAAAGAAGUGCCACAAAUGAGAAAAUACAAACGCGGUCUUGUCACGGAUGGAGCUAGUGUAACCCUGGGAGACAGGAGGCUGCAGAAGAGCCUCCUGGGGAGGGGUCGGAGGUACUGAGACGGCUGAAGAAUAGAAGGAAGAAGAUCCAGACGCAGAAAUGCCCUCUGGCUGAGUCAGCAAGGAGGGCACCACCAGUGAACUCCAGUUCCUGGCUGGUCCACGGGUGACGGCUGUGCUGUGGCGUCGGCGUGGGGACUUCUGACAGCUGUGCUGAUGAGGACGGUGUGUGGCUCUCAGGGACACUCACAAUGCACCGGGCUCUGCCCAAGUCCGAAGAAGACUGAUCACCGUGCACUCAGCCAUCACUACACUGCUGGGGGGGAGGGGAGGGUGGGGCAGGUA